UACGGAGGGUGCAAGCGUUAUCCGGAUUUACUGGGUUUAAAGGGUGCGUAGGUGGAUUGGUAAGUCAGUGGUGAAAGCCUCCAGCUCAACUGGAGAACUGCCAUUGAUACUGCAAGGCUUGAGUACAGACGAGGUUGGCGGAAUUGAUUGUGUAGCGGUGAAAUGCAUAGAUACAAUCAAGAACUCCGAUUGCGUAGGCAGCUAACUAGGCUGUAACUGACGCUGAGGCACGAAAGCGUGGGGAGCGAACAGG
This 253-nucleotide ribosomal RNA is filed under the name uncultured bacterium. Its description in RNAcentral is "partial 16S ribosomal RNA". It matches the Rfam family "Bacterial small subunit ribosomal RNA", at positions 524 to 776 of the family's 1533-position model. The record is from RNAcentral.